RNAcentral lists this ribosomal RNA (400 nucleotides) under uncultured bacterium. RNAcentral describes it as "bacterial SSU rRNA". It matches the Rfam family "Bacterial small subunit ribosomal RNA", at positions 355 to 770 of the family's 1533-position model. The record is from RNAcentral.
UGGGGAAUAUUGCGCAAUGGGGGAAACCCUGACGCAGCCACGCCGCGUGUGUGAUGAAGGCCCUCGGGUCGUAAAGCACUGUCGGGAGGGACGAAGUUCUGACGGUACCUCCCAAGAAAGCACCGGCUAACCCUGUGCCAGCAGCCGCGGUAAUACAGGGGGUGCAAGCGUUGCUCGGAAUUACUGGGCGUAAAGCGAGCGCAGGCGGUCUGUUAAGUCGGAGGUGAAAGCCCAGGGCUCAACCCUGGAAUGGCCUUCGAAACUGGCAGACUUGAAUGCAGGAGAGGGUCGCGGAAUUCUUGGUGUAGAGGUGAAAUUCGUAGAUAUCAGGAAGAACACCGGUGGCGAAGGCGGCGACCUGGCCUGACAUUGACGCUCAUGCUCGAGAGCGUGGGGAGCA